Aethalodelphis obliquidens (Pacific white-sided dolphin) is the source of this 106-nucleotide small nuclear RNA. Lineage: Eukaryota; Metazoa; Chordata; Mammalia; Artiodactyla; Delphinidae. The record is from RefSeq and is a predicted model, not a curated record.
GUGUUCGCUUCGGCAGCACGUAUACUAAAGUUGGAAUGAUACAGAGAAGAUUACCGUGGCCCUGUGCAAGGAUGACGUGCGCAUUCGUGAAGUGUUGUCUUUUCAU